GAGGCCUUGCCCUGCAAAGCCCCAGGCUGAGGGGCUGGGGUUGGGGUGGGGUUUACCAGGACCUGGUUCCUGUAAGCCGAGGUCUCCUUGCCUGGCUCUUCUAGCCUCAGGCCAGCAGCAGCAGGGCAGCCUGAUACAGUAGGGCACCCCAGGGGUGAGGGGAGACCAAGAAGGCAGACACCCCUGACAGCCUCGUAACCACGCAGGAGACUCACUGUGACUUGUCCCACGCCCUCCCCAGUGUCUCCUCGGUUGGGGCUGGGGCUUCAGGGAUCAGGGAGAGGCUGGGUACCAGCUGUGUGCCUGGCGGCACCUGGGACAGGGCCUUGCUGGGGGCGGGUGCUGUGGGUGUGCUUGCCAGGCCGAGGCAUCGGGAAGGAACGAGGUGGGGAGCUCUCUGGAGAGGCACACGGGUGUGUACCAGCUGGAGGUGUUGCCUGAGCAGCCGGCAAGGCUGGGGCCUUCAGAUUAGGCCAUAGGUGGGUGGCCUGGAGCGCCUGGCCAAAGAGCAGAGCUGGGCAGGGGCCAGGGGCCGUGCUGGGCCUCUGUCCAGGGGCUUUUCUCCGGGGAAGGGUUCCGGGGCAGUGGGCUCGAGACCCUGGCCCUGGGGAUUGCAUAUUGGAGCACAUCGGACCAUCCAGGAGCCAGUGGGAGGUGGGUGUGCCGGGGCUUCACACCGGUUUCCACUUCUCUGGCCUGUGUUGACACAGGCCACCCUCCCCACCAGGCUGGUCCCGAGCCCCCUCCUGGCCCCCAGGCCUGGAAGACAGCUCCCUUGCUGCCUGGCCAGGCCCCCUUGUGGUUGCCAGGGCCCCGAUGCUGGAAUGUGAGAGGCCCCCCACUGGCCUCUCAGCCUCCUCCUGCCUUGCACAGGCUGGGCCAGAGCCUGCCAUGGAGCCCCAGCGGCUACACACUCCACUCACUCACACCUCUCAGGGCCCUGCACGUUCCCACAGCCCUCAGGGUGUACGUGCUGUAGGUGUGGCUGUGCCCCAGGUAUGUGUUCCCCAGAUGUGCAUGUGCCUCAGGUGUGGCUGUGCCUCAGGUGUGGCUGUGCCCCAGGUGUGCGUGUGCCUCAGGUGUGGCCGGUGCCCCAGGUGUGCGUGUGCCCCAGGGUGUGCAUUGUGCCCCAGGUGUGCGUGUGCCCCACGUGUGUGUGUGCCCCAGAUGUGGCUGUGUUCUAGGUGUCUGUGUAUUCCAGUGUGGCUGUGCCCCAGGUGUGGGUGUGCGGGGUGGUGCCCCAGGUGUGGUGUCUGUGGUGGCUGUGCUUCUAGGUUGUGGUGGGUGUGCCCCAGGUGUGGGUGUGCUCCAGGUGUGGGUGUGCCCCAGGUGUAGGUGUGCUCCAGGUGGCUGUAUUUCCCAGGUACUCAGGGUGAGGUUGGGAAAAUAGGACAUUUCUACACUAGGUGGGACAAGCUGCUUUCUGGGGUGCCCCCCUCAUGCCAGCCCCUCUGUGGGAUCUCCAUAUCCCUCAUCCUCUGAGGCCUGGCGCACAGUGGGGCUCAGAGACUGAAGGAAGGACUGUAGGAGUGGAUGAUGGUGGGGGUUUGACCUGACUCUGGGCCAGAUACCCUGUGGGGCUGCCUCAACCUGGAGUAGAGUGUCUGAGCUGGAACGGGGGUCCUAGCCCCACUCUGUGAGGCGAGAAACAGGCUUGGAGAGAGGAAGAGAUGGGGCUUCCCAGGACCUGGGGGGUGGUAUGCAAGGGGAGCUGGCUGGUGCGGGGGGGGCCCUGGGAGGGGCAGGGGAAUGCACGCAGACAGAGGCUCUGCCUGCCCGCAGAGUGCCAGCUGAUGAAGACGGAGCGGCCCCGGCCCAACACCUUCAUCAUCCGCUGCCUGCAGUGGACCACUGUCAUUGAACGCACCUUCCACGUGGAGACUCCUGAGGAGCGGUACGUGGGCUGUGGCGGCCAGGCCAGGCGCUUGGGCAGCCCCAGCGCUUAGGAGGGACACGGGGAUGGCGGGGUGCUGGCACCUCUGCCUGUAGCCGUCCUCACUCCCCAGUGCUCCCAGGCCCUCCUCAGAGCCCAGUUUGGAAACUGGCCCAGUCCUGCCUGUGGGGUUUGGGUGGGGAAACUGAGGCUGGAGUUAAAAACUGGCUAGCGACCGGGUGCAGUGGCUCACAUCUAUAAUCUCGGCACUUUGGGAGGCCGAGGUGCACGGAUCACUUGAGACCAGGAGUUUGAGACUAGCCUGGCCAACAUGGUGAAACCCCCGUCUCUACUAAAAAUAUAAAACUUAGCUGGGCGUGGUGGUGCACACCUGUAAUCCCAGCUACUUGGGAGGCUGAGGCACAAGAAUCGCUUGAACCCGAGAGGCGGAGGCUGCAGGAGCCGAGAUUUUACCACUGCACUCCAGCCUGGGCGAUAGAGCAAGACUCCAUCUCAAAAAAAGAAAAACCUGAUGGAGAGGGCCAGUCAUGCUUGGGGGGUGGGGUCCUGCUGGGGGGCUGAGUCCUGCUGUGGGCCUGAGUCCUGCUGGGGGUUGGAGUCCAGUUGUGGGGACAGAGCCCUGCUGCGGGGCUAAGCCUGGGUGUCCCCCACGUCCAGGAGGGCUUCCUGACCCUGAGUGUGUGUGGCCAGCCCAGGUCAAGUGGUGGCCUCCUCAGGGCUGUCUCUGGGGACCCCGACAGCUGCGGGGCCAUGCUUGUGAGGCUGGCGGGUGGGCGAAAGCCAUGGGGUGGAGCUCCUGAUCUGGUGCAGGGCUGCAGCCUCACCUGACCUCCUGCAGGGAGGAGUGGACAACCGCCAUCCAGACGGUGGCCGACGGCCUCAAGAAGCAGGAGGAGGAGGAGAUGGACUUCCGGUCGGGCUCACCCAGUGACAACUCAGGGGCUGAAGAGAUGGAGGUGUCCCUGGCCAAGCCCAAGCACCGCGUGGUGAGGCCUGUCCCCACUUCUGCCUGUUCCUGGGGCUGCCUUGGGCUGUGAAGGGCUGGGUGGGUCGUGGGGGUCCCAGCUCGGCCCAGGAGACACUCAGCACUCCACGGCAUCUCCACCUAGGCCGGUUUUCUGUGUAGGGUGCAGCUGCCUCCCAGGUGGGUCCUCUUCCCUAUGUCAGAGGAAAACUGGGGCUGCUGAGCCCUGCCAGGCUUGGGCAACGUUACCCCACCCUUCCCUGAACCCCGUGCUCUGAGCUGGGGCCGCAGCUGUGUGUUCCCUGUAAGCCCGGACUCCCCGCUGAGCCCAGCAGGCCACCAGGUGUGAAGCGGGCGCCUGUCCUGGCUCUGCCUCCAAGACUCUGGGGCCCCUCAUGCCACCCCACGCAUGCCGACGAGCUGGGCACUGUGGGCAGCGCCACGUGCUGACCCUGGUGCCUGCCCACAGACCAUGAAUGAGUUUGAGUACCUGAAGCUGCUGGGCAAGGGCACUUUUGGGAAGGUGAUCCUGGUGAAGGAGAAGGCUACAGGGCGCUACUACGCCAUGAAGAUCCUCAAGAAGGAAGUCAUCGUGGCCAAGGUGAGGCCGGGGCGGUGGGGCAGGGUGCAGACGAGGGUGCGGGGCGGCAGCUCACCCAGCCCUGCCUUACAGGACGAGGUGGCCCACACACUCACGGAGAACCGUGUCCUGCAGAACUCCAGGCACCCCUUCCUCACGGUGAGUGGGAGCCCAGAUGGGGCUGAGGGGCUGAAGGGCUGGGGCCAGAUAGCGACUCCUGGGACUGUCUCUAGGGGACGAUGUCCUGUCUUCUUGGGCACGUGAGGGCUUUACACACUGUGGACUCCACCGCUGGUGAGACGGGCCUGCCCUGGAGGGUCAGGCUGUGGAGGUGCCCAGUGUGGGCUGGGGGCUGUGCUCGCCGCUCCCGUGUGCAGGCAGGUGGGUGGAGCAGGUGGCCCUGGUCUUCCUUGCACUCUGCCGAGGCUCCAGGAGGCCCCAGCUCCUCAUGCCCUGCAGCCCUGCCUGCCAGGCUUCUGUUGAGGCCCGGGCUCUGUCCUGCGGAGCCUGUUCUGGGGACUCAGCCCAGGAGGUAUUUACUGUGAAGGGGGCCAGGCUCCAGCCACUUGGUUAGUUCCAGGUCACUGUGUUUGGGGACGAUUCUCCUGCAGAUGGGGCCUUUGCUUUAAAAGCACAGUCGCCUGUGGUGGAAGGCCGGAAGGUGGGUCUCGCCUGGGAGGGUGUGUCCUCCCCUUGCCAGGGCCCUGGUGCUGGGAGCACUGUCCCCUGCUGAGGUCCCAACUCGCCCUGGAGGACCUGAGCCCAGGCCGCCUUGCUCACCUUUCAAACACUCCUUGGCGCCUCAGGGGCUGCUGGGGCCCAGCCUGAUGGUGGCGUGGCAUGAGGCAGUGUGGUGUGGGGCAGUGGUGGGGCAGCGUGGUGUCGGGCAGUGUGGUGUGGGGCUACGGGCGGUGUGGUAUCAGGCGACGUGGUAUCAAGCAGCGUGGUGUCGGGCAGCGUGGUGCAGGGCUGCCGUCCUGCCUGUGGGGCCGCAGUUGCAGCUUCGCUUCCUUCCAGGCCCUGAAGUACUCUUUCCAGACCCACGACCGCCUCUGCUUCGUCAUGGAGUACGCCAACGGGGGCGAGGUAGGGGCUGGGGCUGCGGGGGAUGGACUUUGUGGCCUGUGGGCCGCCCAUGGUGGGGCUGGUCCUUCCCGGAGCCUUGGCUACUCUCCAUGGCGCCAGACGGUGCUCCCUGCUGGGUGGGUGGUGUGAUGCCUGCCCAGGCAGCUGCCUGCUGUGGGGUGACUUGUUCCUGCUGAGUUAGGGCUUCUGAGACUUUCCAGGCCCCCGUGCCCUCUGGGGGCUGGUCCCUUCCCUGUGCCAAUGCCCUGAGACCCUGUCUGAGAAGCCCCAGCCCUGCAGGCCGUGGGGGCGGAGGCCCCAGCCACGGCUGUGCCUCAGGUCGCGCCUCCCGCAGCUGUUCUUCCACCUGUCCCGGGAGCGUGUGUUCUCUGAGGACCGGGCCCGCUUCUAUGGCGCUGAGAUCGUGUCAGCCCUGGACUACCUGCACUCGGAGAAGAACGUGGUGUACCGGGACCUCAAGGUGCGCUGGUGGGCAGGCGGCGGGGCAGGGCCCCGGGGGCCUGGUGGCACUGACCUGAGGCCACCUUUCCCCUAGCUGGAGAACCUCAUGCUGGACAAGGACGGGCACAUUAAGAUCACAGACUUCGGGCUGUGCAAGGAGGGGAUCAAGGAUGGUGCUACCAUGAAGACCUUCUGCGGCACACCCGAGUACCUGGCCCCUGAGGUGUGCGCCCCACCUGCGUGCAUACGCGUUGCUGUGUCCCCGCGUCCUGAGCACACGCAAUGCUGUGUCCUCUCUGUGCCCCAAGCACAUCACACCUCCCUCGGCAGUGUCCUGGACACUCCUUGAUGCCGAGUCCUGCCCAUCUGCCACCCGUGCAGGUGCUGGAGGACAAUGACUACGGCCGUGCGGUGGACUGGUGGGGGCUGGGCGUGGUCAUGUACGAGAUGAUGUGCGGCCGCCUGCCCUUCUACAACCAGGACCAUGAGAAGCUUUUUGAGCUCAUCCUCAUGGAGGAGAUCCGCUUCCCGCGCACGCUUGGUCCCGAGGCCAAGUCCUUGCUCUCGGGGCUGCUCAAGAAGGACCCCAAGCAGAGGCUUGGCGGGGGUUCCGAGGACGCCAAGGAGAUCAUGCAGCAUCGCUUCUUUGCCGGCAUCGUGUGGCAGCAUGUGUACGAGAAGAAGGUGCGGCUGCUCCCCGCAUAUCCACGCACACGCGUGCACCCCACAUAGCCACACUCACGCAUGCACGUGGCACACUCGCUGGAUUUCCCACACACUCGCCCUCACCUCAGGAGCCUGCUGCAGUCCUGGUACAAGGAGGGCCUUGCUGCACCAACCUCAGCGCCUGGUGCUCAGAGGCUGGCACUGCUGGGCUCCACCAGGAAACUGGCCUGGUCCUCCUUAUUUCCUCCUCCCCUCAGAGGUGUGUCACACUCUGAGUGCCAACCUUGGGGGUCCCUUCCCUGACGCUGUGCAGUGAAGGCUGGCUGGUGGUGGACCAGGGGUGCUGCCCCUUGGUCUCUAUGAGUUCCUCCUGUUUGACCUCAGUCCCUUCUGCCACAAGGAGAGCCCAGCCCUACUGUCUGGCUGUGCAGGGACAGGGGACAGCACCUACUUUUCUGGCACAUGGGGGAGUCCGUCCUGGAGGGAGGCAGCUCUUUCUGCAUGAGUCGCCAUCCUGGGUGCUCAUCUUUCAGGGACGCUAGGAGCCCUGGCCAUCACCCCGGCUGAUGGGGUCUGCCAGCUGGGUUCGGAAGCCUGCACUCUGAGGUGCUGGGUGCCCUGUCACCAGGUGUGCUUCUGUCCCAUUCCCAGCGUGCCCCUCCCUGAAUGCCUGUCCUAGGCCAUGUGCAGCUGGUUGGGCUAGGCAGCCCUGGGACCCAGCUGGGCACCUGUCCUCCCAUUAACACAGGGUGCCCUGGCCCUGGUCCCAGUUCCUGCCUUGAGGCCUGCCACCCUCCAGCCCUGCCCUGCCCUCCAAGGGUAUGGGGGGCCUGGGCAGCACUCAACCUCUGCCCAGCCUUGACCAGAGACCUUGCUAAUUGACAAUGGACAGUGCUGGUGCCCAGGCCAGACUCUGGGGUGGGGCAGUGCUUGAGAGGGUCCUUGACUGUGGGACCUGAGGGGCUCUCUGGCAGCUCCUCAGGUGGGCACAUCACCUUAUAGUCACCCUUGAUCCUGGGUCAGUGAGAGUCCUGUCUGCAGCCAGAUGCCAGCAGGCUGUGGUCCUGUAGUCCCUGAGCUGUGGAGGCAGGGUGGGCUCAUCCUGUGCACCUUGUUCCACAGUCUCCCUCUUUCCCAAUUUACAAGAAGACCAAUAAGAAAAAUAAAACAAGAAAGAAAAAGGAAAAAUAAAGUCAUCACCUCCUGGUAGCAGGGAGGGUCUCAGAGCUGGGCUGCACUACCUCCUGUCGCCUGCUGGGGCUGCUGUGAGGGCAGCUUUGCGUCUCAGCUGAUGAGGGUUAUCUCCAUGCUCCUGCACCCCUCAUGUCCCUCCCCUCCCAGAGCUGCCUCUGUCGGGGGCUGGUGGCUUGCUGCUCUCUGACAUCAGUCCUGCCUGGAGACUCCUUGGAGAUCCAGGUGCUUUGAGGGUCUUGAGCACACUUGAGGGUGUGUUGGGAGUGGGGAGCGAAGCUCAUGACUGUCCCGUCUGCCCACCUCUGCAGCUCAGCCCGCCCUUCAAGCCCCAGGUCACAUCGGAGACCGACACCAGGUAUUUUGACGAGGAGUUCACGGCCCAGAUGAUCACCAUCACACCACCUGACCAAGACGACAGCAUGGAGUGUGUGGACAGCGAGCGCAGGCCCCACUUCCCCCAGUUCUCCUACUCGGCCAGCGGCACGGCCUGAGGCGGCGGUGGACUGCGCUGGACGGUAGCUUGGAGGGAUGGAGAGGCGACCUCGUGCCAUGAUCUGUAUUUAAUGGUUUUUAUUUCUCGGGUGCAUUUGAGAGAAGCCACGCCGUCCUCCUGAGCCCAGGUGGAAAGACGUUUUUGUGCUGUGGGCAGCACCCUCCCCCGCAGCGGGGUAGGGAAGAAAAUUGUCCUGCGGGUUUUAAUUUAUUUCAUCCAGUUUGUUCUCCGGACGUGGCCUCAGCCCUCAGAACAAUCCGAUUCACAUAGGGAAAUGUUAAGGACUUCUGCAGCUAUGCGCAAUGUGGCGUUGGGGGGCCGGGCAGGUCCUGCCCACGUGUCCCCUCACUCUGUCAGCCAGCCGCCCUGGGCUGUCUGUCACCAGCUAUCUGUCAUCUCUCUGGGGCCCUGGGCCUCAGUUCAGCCUGGUGGCACCAGAUGCAACCUCACUAUGGCAUGCUGGCCGGCACCCUCUCCUGGGGGUGGCAGGCACACGGCAGCCCCCAGCACUAAGGCCGUGUCUCUGAGGACGUCAUUGGAGGCUGGGCCCCUGGGAUGGGACCAGGGAUGGGGGAUGGGCCAGGGUUUACCCAGUGGGACAGAGGAGCAAGGUUUAAAUUUGUUAUUGUGUAUCAUGUUGGUCAAAUGCAUUUUGGGGGUUUUUAAUCUUUGUGACAGGAAAGCCCUCCCCCUUCCCCUUCUGUGUCACAGUUCUUGGUGACUGUCCCACCGGGAGCCUUCCCCUCAGAUGAUCUCUCCACGGUAGCACUUGACCUUUUUGCCGCUUAACCUUUCCGCUGUCGCCCCGGGCCCUCCCUGACUCCCUGUGGGGGUGGCCAUCCCUGGGCCCCUCCACGCCCUCCUGGCCAGACGCUGCCGCUGCUGCUGCACCACGGCGUUUUUUUACAACAUUCAACUUUAGUAUUUUUACUAUUAUAAUAUGAAAAUUUCCCUCCAAAUUCUUCAAUAAAAGUUGCUUUUC
Molecule: small RNA, 8300 nt
Filed under: Pongo abelii (Sumatran orangutan)
Lineage: Eukaryota; Metazoa; Chordata; Mammalia; Primates; Hominidae
Description: retained intron
Source: RNAcentral